RNAcentral lists this non-coding RNA (24 nucleotides) under Cricetulus griseus (Chinese hamster). Lineage: Eukaryota; Metazoa; Chordata; Mammalia; Rodentia; Cricetidae. The record is from RNAcentral.
AAUGGCUGCAUCGUGGAAACUAAC